GACAAAGAUGGCGUCCAAUUGUCAAAUUUUAAUGUUUUCAUAAAUCAAUCGGGGGAAAAGAAAGGCAGAUGACGAUGAUGAUAAAGAAAAUACUAGACCAAAUAAGUUAAAUAAAAUUGAUAGUAAUGUUGAAGUUGUGGAAAUUGAACAAAAAUCAACUAAACAACGGAAAAGAUACGCAAGUGAAGACAAAUAUGAGCAAGACUUCAAAUGACUUAUAGUCACAGAGGAAGGAUACUACUGUUCUGUGUGCCAAAAAUACGGCACAAAAGCAAGAAACAGGACAGAAACCUGGAUCGAAAGGCCUUAAAUCCAUGCUGAUGCAUAAAAUUGUAAAAGAAGAGAUAAAAGAGAUAAAUUUUUGAAAAAAUAAAAUCAAAGAAUAUUUGACAAUUAAUAUGACUACUUCUAUUUAUGUUUGUUCAACUCCAUUAAAUGUAAAUAUUAUACUAAUCUUUAUUUCUGUGACCCCCACGUGUACCCACAG
This 487-nucleotide long non-coding RNA is filed under the name Mytilus galloprovincialis (Mediterranean mussel). The record is from RNAcentral. Lineage: Eukaryota; Metazoa; Mollusca; Bivalvia; Mytilida; Mytilidae.